Long non-coding RNA from Ceratitis capitata (Mediterranean fruit fly), 1687 nucleotides. RefSeq lists it as uncharacterized. The record is from RefSeq and is a predicted model, not a curated record. The transcript has 3 exons. Lineage: Eukaryota; Metazoa; Arthropoda; Insecta; Diptera; Tephritidae.
AAUAGGUUUUGUUAUUUCGAACAUUUGUUUACACAAACAAAAUACACUGAAAUUGGAUCGUGCAGAGGAUCAUCCUCAGUUAAGUGACUUUUUAAGAAUCCAACGAUAAAGGUAUCAAAAGGUGUUUUCUAAAAAGGCCUCUAAUAGAACGAGUAUUGAUGUUGAACAUGCUUCGCAACAAUUUGUCGCUUAGAUUUUCAGUAAUGAUGACCGAAAUACGGAAAUAAGCUUGAAGCUGGCCAUAUUAACUCAACAAUAUUAUAGAGUUUAUUCGAUGCUGUUUAAUUAAAACCAAGCAAGAGCUUUAUUUUUCCUUCUAAAUGUUACCAAUAUUUCAUUUUGUGCAUCGUCGUCGCUUACGGAAAAUUAAAUGCAUUAUGCUCAUUGUGGCCGUAGAAGCAAUUUUGCUUUGAAUUCAUAGUAUGACUCCUUGGGCCUUAACUGCUAUCUGGUAAAUUAUAAAAAAUCCAUAACCAACCGUUGUAAUAGAAAUAAUAAUAUAUACUAAUUCUAUGCCUUCCUCACUUUCUCAACGAAAACUGGUUGGUGUGCGGGCGAUGAUUCCACUCCGCUGCCACCACAUUUUCGUUUAACGAGUGGCUUUACUAUUGUUGGAAUCAUUGACAUUUUCAGUUAAAUUCAACAACAUGACAAUUAACCUCCUAUUUUGUUGGUAUAUACUACAUAAUUCAUAUUAAAGAAUUAAAAUUAUUAUAAUUUUAAAUCAAUUUUGUUUUGUUGACAAAAAUUCACAAAUCAGCUGUUUUCAUACUUGCUAGUUUUUACUGGAUCAAAUUUCCCCAGCACGAAUUUCUUUAACUAAACGUUUUUGGCUCAAAGAACAAGAUAAAGUAAAGUUAGGUAAGAAAUGUUUCUGCCCAUCUAGUAAACGAACAGAACUAAAAAUUGUACUCAAUCACGUUUGACGUUUAGGAAAGUAUUUAACAAGUAAGGAAGACCAAAAUUAGAUUUAAUGACUUAAAUAUGAAAUUUUCAGUCUAAUUAUGUGCAACGGUGUGGAAGACCAAUUGUCGAAAAUGUGGACAAAAAUAAAGAAAAUCGUCGAGUCUGACCGUCAUGAGAGCAUUGCUUCGACUGCCCAGAAGCUAGGCAUUUCACAAAAAAAAAAUCAACUUGGAACCACUUGAGAACGGCUGGAUACACAAAGACCUUCGUUGUAUGGGGGUCACAUGAGAUAACGAGGAAACAUCUCAUACACCGAAUUUCCAUUUGAGAAUAAAUUAUAACAAACUCGACACAUGUCUGAAGCGGAAGUGACGCGAGAUGAAAAUUGGAUCAUAUACAGCAACGUCAAACUAAAAAACGGUCUUGGUCGCAGGGCAGUGACACAACACAACCGGUCUCCAAGCCAGGUGUUUGGUGGAAUUGGCAAGGAAUCUUCCACUAUGAGCUGCUACUUCAUUUGAAGCUGUACUGUCAGCAAUUGCAGCCUCUGAAGGAAAUAAUUGCCCAAUAGCGCCCUGUUCUGACAAACAAGAGGAAAUUGUGUUUCAUCAGGACAUCGACAACGACUCGCCAAGAGUUUCCAGACCUGGGUUGCCAUUCCGGACAUUGGAAAGAGUGAUUACCAUCUGUUACUGUCUGUGGCGUAUGAUUUGUCAUAGGUUUUUAUGUGGUUAUAUGUAAAAUAAAUGUAAAUGGCCAAGUUUCAUUGUAAUUAUUUGAA